AACGACUCUCGGCAACGGAUAUCUCGGCUCUCGCAUCGAUGAAGAACGCAGCGAAAUGCGAUACUUGGUGUGAAUUGCAGAAUCCCGUGAACCAUCGAGUCUUUGAACGCAAGUUGCGCCCCAAGCCUUCUGGCUGAGGGCACGUCUGCCUGGGUGUCACAAA
This 163-nucleotide ribosomal RNA is filed under the name Weberbauera rosulans. RNAcentral describes it as "5.8S ribosomal RNA". It matches the Rfam family "5.8S ribosomal RNA". Rfam says of the family: 5.8S ribosomal RNA (5.8S rRNA) is a component of the large subunit of the eukaryotic ribosome. It is transcribed by RNA polymerase I as part of the 45S precursor that also contains 18S and 28S rRNA. Lineage: Eukaryota; Viridiplantae; Streptophyta; Magnoliopsida; Brassicales; Brassicaceae. The record is from RNAcentral.